Long non-coding RNA from Helianthus annuus (common sunflower), 1586 nucleotides. RefSeq lists it as uncharacterized. NCBI's taxonomy places the organism in Eukaryota, Viridiplantae, Streptophyta, Magnoliopsida, Asterales, Asteraceae. The transcript is spliced from 7 exons. The record is from RefSeq and is a predicted model, not a curated record.
UGAUCUAAUUGUUGAAACGCUAGGAUAAUCAACCGUCAUCGGUGAUUUAUUCUCAUUCGUUCCAGUCUCCACCCUUGAAUUGAAUCCACACACACAUGAGAGAGAGAACCGAGAUGACGCCGGGUCAGUGAUGAUGGUGUACGGAUGAUGGCGGUGGUAGGUUGUGGACAAAGCGAAGCCCGACGAUGGCUUUAGGGUUCCGUCGCAAGUCAGUCAAUGGGUUAUUAGGAUUCGGGCAGAGCCAUACCUAGGGUUCCGAUUGACAAUUCCAGAGGUGUAAUCGGUGUUUAAAAGGACGGAUUGAAACAACCCCUCUUCAUCUCGCCAAAACGCUAAUCGAUUCGUCAACCACCACAUCUUCAGAAGAGAUCAACGUCAUCCACAGUGGCACCACAACGCUUUCACUGAGUUCGAGAAAGUGUUCGAUCGGAUUGGAUGUUCAUAGCAUGCUUCAUUCACGCGCAUGGGUAACACACGAUUGAUUAUACGUAUCAACAACGGAGAUUUGUAUGAGUUAACAACCUGAAAUUUGAUUAAUCGUGAUUACGGUGCCUUUCCAAGUUCCAAUGAUUGACAGGAGAAGACUUGAUUACACCAUGCCAUUGUAGAGGCACCCAAAAAUAUGUCCACAGGUCAUGUCUUGACAAUUGGAGGUCUGCCAGGGAGGGGUUUGCUUUCUCUCACUGCACAGAAUGUAAGGCUGUGUUUAUCCUACGUGCGAAUGUCCCACCAGAUCGCUGGUGGUUGAGGUUGAAAUUUCAGUUACUGGUUGCAAGAGACCAUGCAUUCAUUUUCAUCAUUGACUCAUUGUCCAACUGAUUGUUGCCUUCUUAGGUGUGUUGGUCUACAAAUUUUAUGGAGAUGAACCGAGACAAAGGUUAAGGUCACAGUUGAUAUAACACCAGAUUUAAUUGUUACCUAUUUAGUGCACAAAAAUUAACACCAUUAUUUGUCUGUCAUCGUUUUGGGUUUGCCAAUGACUUUAUUCACUAUUUGGUUAUAUUUCAUAUUUUUAAGCUAAAUAGGCUUGUUAGAUUAAAGGUCUGGUACAAGAAAUCUGAUCUAUUACAACUGCUGUUAUCACAAGUUCAGGUCUUUGAUGCUGCUGGGUCUCGGAGCUUGUUCAGGCUGCAUUGCUAUGGCCGCUGAGCGCUGGACGCAUUCAUAUGGACCUGGUUGCAUUAUUGGAACAAGCUUGUUCUGUACAGUCUGCAGACUGCAAGUAUAAAGCUCCUGCUGCACUGGACGGGAGCUUCAGGCUGCUUUUAUAUGGCUGUUAGAAGCUGGUCGCAUCAAACUUUACUCCGGACCUGCAUUGGUAGCAUUUUUACUGGAAAAGGUCCUGGUUUAUACGUUUGGGCUGGUCAUCUUUUAAAGGCCCAGUUCUGGUUUAUUAGUCAGACUCAAAGGGACUAGGAUUGGGCUGUUAUACUUCACCGUAAAGUGCUGAAAUACAGGGAUGUGUUGCUGUGUCUCUGGGAUGUUACGGGGGAAUGCCCCCUUGGUGUAAUUUUUUCAUUGUGUGUUAUAUAGUUUGCCGGGCGAUGCCCUUUAUUCAAAAAAAAAAAGUUUAUAUUAAAAACCAA